Molecule: ribosomal RNA, 406 nt
Filed under: uncultured bacterium
Lineage: Bacteria
Description: partial 16S ribosomal RNA
Rfam family: Bacterial small subunit ribosomal RNA
Source: RNAcentral
AUUGAACGCUGGCGGCAGGCCUAACACAUGCAAGUCGAACGAGCGGCGGACGGGGGAGUAAUGUCUGGGAAACUGCCUGAUGUGGGGGGAUAACUACUGGAAACGGUAGCUAAUACCGCAUACCAUCAGAUGUGCCCAGAUGGGAUUAGCUCGUAGGUGGGGUAACGGCUCACCAAGGCGACGCUCCCUAGCUGGUCUGAGAGGAUGACCAGCCACACUGGAACUGAGACACGGUCCAGACUCCUACGGGAGGCAGCAGUGGGGAAUAGUGCACAAUGGGCGCAAGCCUGAUGCAGCCAUGCCGCGUGUGUGAAGAAGGCCUUCGGGUUGUAAAGUACUUUCAGCGGGGAGGCGUUACCCGCAGAAGAAGCACCGGCUAACUCCGUGCCAGCAGCCGCGGUAAUAC